This is a long non-coding RNA of Lolium perenne, 812 nucleotides long. RefSeq lists it as uncharacterized. The record is from RefSeq and is a predicted model, not a curated record. NCBI's taxonomy places the organism in Eukaryota, Viridiplantae, Streptophyta, Magnoliopsida, Poales, Poaceae.
CGCUUUGGUUCUUCAGCACCUUUGAUCACGAUGCAAGCACAACAGGUCCGCGGCUAUGGCAGCUCCCAAGCAGCCAUGGGGUCACUGGUGAGUGGUGGCCCUAAAAUGCAGAAGAUACCAUCUCCCUCCACCAUAGUAUCUUCGUGAUACAUCCAACUACAACCCUGGAUCUCUCUCUCUCCAGCUCACUCUAUCUAUGUCAUGUUAGUUCGUUUAGUACACAAACUUUAUUGGUAUUUUUGAUGGUUUUGUAGAACACUACUAUGGGGAUGUUCCAGUUCAAUUUUAGGGUUCUACCAUUUUAUCGAUAAUCUACUAAAAUAUAUGGAAAUAUGAAGCGACUAUUAUGAACAGACUUGCGUUCAAUCUACAAUUCAAAAUUGAAAUAGGGCAUCUGCAUAGUGAUGGAUAAACAUUAGCCAGAGAUGGAGACAUCCAUACCCUUAAGGUGGAUUACUAAUUACAGGUGCCUCAUCGUGCUACUGUGUGUGAUGUUGAAUGCUCAACCUAACUUCAUCUUGAUUUUUCAUCGGUGUUCUACUACAAUGGAGAAUGCAACAUUCUGCUCCCUUGGGAUGAUCCAAGUUUGAAGACAUGUAAACCGGUGUGUUUUCCGGUUUGAAGAUAGAUGAUACCAUUUCAUUGUAUGUCUAUAUGCUAGAGGAGGAACUGAUUUUCAGUUUCCAACCUUGCAUGUGUAAAAAAUAUCCUGUAAGGUUAAGCACUUAUUAUCUCUUCAAAACAAUAACUUCACUUGGCAAAUGUAAGCUUCUAAUUAACUAAAUCUAUUGCCAACAAUAUGUUGUACUGAA